Molecule: ribosomal RNA, 427 nt
Filed under: uncultured eukaryote
Lineage: Eukaryota
Description: SSU rRNA
Rfam family: Eukaryotic small subunit ribosomal RNA
Source: RNAcentral
CUCAUAGCGUAUAUUUAAGUUGUUGCAGUUAAAAAGCUCGUAGUUGGAUUUCGGGUGUGGGGCGCCGGUCCGCUUCGGUGUGCACUGGCGGCCCAGGCCUUCUUGUCGGGGACGCGCUCUGGCUUUCACUAGUCGGACGCGGAGUCGGCGCAGUUACUUUGAAAAAAUUAGAGUGUUCAAAGCAGGCUUUCGCUUGAAUACAUUAGCAUGGAAUAACAUGAUAGGACUCCGAUCCCAUUGUGUUGGUCUUCGGGACUGGAGUAAUGAUUAAGAGGGACAGUUGGGGGCAUUCGUAUUUCAUUGUCAGAGGUGAAAUUCUUGGAUUUAUGAAAGACGAACUUCUGCGAAAGCAUUUGCCAAGGAUGUUUUCAUUAAUCAAGAACGAAAGUUGGGGGCUCGAAGAUGAUUAGAUACCAUCGUAGUCUCA